This 270-nucleotide long non-coding RNA is filed under the name Nicotiana benthamiana. RNAcentral's name for it is "long non-coding RNA (NBEN_LNC001497)". Lineage: Eukaryota; Viridiplantae; Streptophyta; Magnoliopsida; Solanales; Solanaceae. The record is from RNAcentral.
AGGAGCAGUGGCUGGUGCAGCUGCUGGAGGAGUAGAAACAGCUGUGGGUGGAGCUGAGGCAGGUGCAGUAGCAGGGGCAGGAGUUUUAGGCUUUGUGGGAGCAGCAGCUGGUGGUGUAGUAGCCUUAGCACCAUCUGGUGCUUUGGCUGGUGCAGCUGCAGGUGUCUGACCUGUGACACUGACCACUACAAUGCACAAAAAUGAAACUAAAAAUACAAUCUUCCUAUCCAUUGCUUCAAAUAAUCAAGAAUCUAUAGAAUAGAAGAGAUG